GCCCAGCCGGCUCAGUCAGUAGAGCGUGCGACUCUUGAUCUCGGGUUAGUGAGUUUGAGCCCCAUGUUGGGCA
RNAcentral lists this transfer RNA (73 nucleotides) under Felis catus (domestic cat). It matches the Rfam family "tRNA". From Rfam's summary of the family: Transfer RNA (tRNA) molecules are approximately 80 nucleotides in length. Their secondary structure includes four short double-helical elements and three loops (D, anti-codon, and T loops). Further hydrogen bonds mediate the characteristic L-shaped molecular structure. tRNAs have two regions of fundamental functional importance: the anti-codon, which is responsible for specific mRNA codon recognition, and the 3' end, to which the tRNAs corresponding amino acid is attached (by aminoacyl-tRNA synthetases). tRNAs cope with the degeneracy of the genetic code in two manners: having more than one tRNA (with a specific anti-codon) for a particular amino acid; and 'wobble' base-pairing, i.e. permitting non-standard base-pairing at the 3rd anti-codon position. Lineage: Eukaryota; Metazoa; Chordata; Mammalia; Carnivora; Felidae. The record is from Rfam by way of RNAcentral.